UCUCAGCCUCUGCCUCUCUUUCUUACACUCAGCUUCUACACAACCACGUUAUUCUCCUCCACUCACUCUCGUCUACAUAACCACGUUUCUACACUAAUUUUUGGUUUCGUCUCGUCUAUCUCUGCCUCACGCGAGUCGCUAGAGCACAUGACGUCGGUGCGAGCUUCCAGAGGACACAACGGCGAUGGGUUUUCUGGUUCGCUCUCUCUCCUCUCCUCUCUCACCGAUCCGCCCUCCAAACGAUGCUGCCACCUCUAUGACGCCGACGCGAACGCCGGUACCUGCAAACUACACCUCUACGACGCCAACGUCGGUACACUAUCAUCUCUCAACAUUUAUAUAUAUAAAUGUUUAAAUGUUUUUUUUUAUUUUAUUAAUUUUGUUUCUGUAUAUUAACUUUUUUCUCUCUCUCUGAUUAGCUAUGAAGAAAAAAUCAGUCUGAUUUUAAGGUAUAUCUACUUUAUGAGUCGAUGGCAAAGUUGCAUUUAUUUCUUGGUCGACAACUAGGGAAUAGCUCAGGUAUUUCUGAAUUUUGGGGACUUGAGAUGGGGCAAUGUCUUUAUUUGGUUCAUACCUGGAUUCUGAAACUGGGGUGCUUCACUUUAUUCAUGUGAUCAUCAUCCUGAUGCACUUCGCCAGCUAGAUCAGCAUUUGAAAACAUAAAAGAAAGUAUACUACCAUUGUUUUUUUUUUUGUUCUUUGCAACAGUUUAUGCUAUUUCAAAUUGGAGGUGGUUCCUGAUAGCUUUUUGCCAUGUUAUUGGAAGUGAGAUUGAAUCUUUAGUGAAGUUGAAGGAGGCGUUUCAUAAUUGUAAAGAUACAGAAAAUGAGAUUGUGUUGAAGAUACAAAGGUUAAUUCAUUUCACUAUUUCCUUUAAAAAUC
This is a long non-coding RNA of Humulus lupulus (European hop), 882 nucleotides long. RefSeq lists it as uncharacterized. The transcript has 3 exons. The record is from RefSeq and is a predicted model, not a curated record. NCBI's taxonomy places the organism in Eukaryota, Viridiplantae, Streptophyta, Magnoliopsida, Rosales, Cannabaceae.